CCUAGAGUUGUAGGCUUUGCCUGCUAUCUCUUACCCAUGUCUUUUGAGUACCUUCGUUUCCUCGGCGGGUCCGCCCGCCGAUUGGACAAUUUAAACCAUUUGCAGUUGCAAUCAGCGUCUGGAAAAAACUUAAUAGUUA
Molecule: unclassified non-coding RNA, 139 nt
Filed under: soil metagenome
Description: partial internal transcribed spacer 1
Source: RNAcentral